CGCAUCUGUGCAUGCAGCAUAUCAAUAAGCGGAGGAAAAGAAACUAACAAGGAUUCCCCUAGUAACGGCGAGUGAAGCGGGAAGAGCUCAAAUUUGAAAUCUUAAAGGGUUUCCCUUUACGAAUUGUAGUUUAAAGAAGUGUUUUCUGUUGAGGUUUUGGUAAAAGUUCUUUGGAAUAGGACAUCAUAGAGGGUGAGAAUCCCGUAUUUGACCUUUACUUUCAACUUUGUGAUACACUUUCAAAGAGUCGGAUUGUUUGGGAAUGCAGUCCAAAAUGGGUGGUAAAUUUCAUCUAAAGCUAAAUAUUGGCGAGAGACCGAUAGCGAACAAGUACCGUGAGGGAAAGAUGAAAAGAACUUUGAAAAGAGAGUUAAACAGUACGUGAAAUUGUCAAAAGGGAAGCGUUUGACACCAGUGUUGUUUUUCUGAAAAUCAAUUAAAGAACUGUUUAUGCUAAGCUGUUUAGACUUUAUCAGCUAAUCUGUUUAGUUUUGAGCUUUUCUUUAAUGCACUUUUCAGUUAACAAGUCAACAUCAAUUUCUUUUGCUGUAAAAAAGCUUGAGGAAGGUGGCUUGAGAUUCGUCUUAAGUGUUUAUAGCCUCUUGCCUAUGCAGUCGGAGAGAUUGAGGUCUGCAGCGUAGAUCCUUCGGGGCUAAAUGCAUUUGUGCUAAGUUAUAGCAUUUUAUAGACAACUUGUUGACUAUGAUUUGUCUUGUAGCUUACUCGCUUAUGUUAUUUUACCUACGCUUAGGAUGUUGAGUCGUAGAGCACGCAG
This 775-nucleotide ribosomal RNA is filed under the name uncultured Neocallimastigales. RNAcentral's name for it is "partial large subunit ribosomal RNA". It matches the Rfam family "Eukaryotic large subunit ribosomal RNA", at positions 26 to 628 of the family's 3401-position model. Lineage: Eukaryota; Fungi; Neocallimastigomycota; Neocallimastigomycetes; Neocallimastigales. The record is from RNAcentral.